Molecule: ribosomal RNA, 253 nt
Filed under: uncultured bacterium
Lineage: Bacteria
Description: partial 16S ribosomal RNA
Rfam family: Bacterial small subunit ribosomal RNA
Source: RNAcentral
UACGAAGGGGGCUAGCGUUGCUCGGAAUCACUGGGCGUAAAGGGUGCGUAGGCGGGUCUUUAAGUCAGGGGUGAAAUCCUGGAGCUCAACUCCAGAACUGCCUUUGAUACUGAGGAUCUUGAGUUCGGGAGAGGUGAGUGGAACUGCGAGUGUAGAGGUGAAAUUCGUAGAUAUUCGCAAGAACACCAGUGGCGAAGGCGGCUCACUGGCCCGAUACUGACGCUGAGGCAUGAAAGCGUGGGGAGCGAACAGG